CUCUCGUUAAAAAGUAUAUAUAAAUUUUUAAAUGGCGAGUCUAACUACGCUUUAGCUGCUUAAUUAAAUAAUUAAAUAGCUUUUGUUCCGGAUUUAGGUUGGUUCAACACCUAAAACUAGGAACAUCAUUAAGUUGAACUAGUUUUAAUUUUUUCCUGGAAAUUAAAAUAAAUUUAAACAGGAUAAGAUAAAUUUUGGUUGUGUUAUAGCUGAAUUUAUUCGAAAAUCAAAUAACACUAAACAUGUAGAAAGUUAUCUAGUUUCUUGUUUGGACCAGGGUUCGAUUCCCUGCAUCUCCACAA
RNAcentral lists this transfer-messenger RNA (302 nucleotides) under Flavobacteriales bacterium. RNAcentral describes it as "partial transfer-messenger RNA". It matches the Rfam family "transfer-messenger RNA", at positions 63 to 374 of the family's 374-position model. Rfam says of the family: Bacterial tmRNA, also known as 10Sa RNA or SsrA, is named for its dual tRNA and mRNA-like properties. Its role is to liberate the mRNA from a stalled ribosome. To accomplish this part of the tmRNA is used as a reading frame that ends in a translation stop signal. The record is from RNAcentral. Lineage: Bacteria; Pseudomonadati; Bacteroidota; Flavobacteriia; Flavobacteriales.